AGAGUACUCCCUCCGUUCGGAAUUACUUGUCGCAGAAAUGGAUGUAUCUAGACGUAUUUUAGUUCUAGAUACAUCCAUUUCCGAGACAAGUAAUUCCGAAUGGAGGGAGUAGAUA
This is a non-coding RNA of Triticum aestivum (bread wheat), 115 nucleotides long. The record is from Rfam. Lineage: Eukaryota; Viridiplantae; Streptophyta; Magnoliopsida; Poales; Poaceae.